UGAGCACGAUUUGACUGCGUAUCCUCGUAUCAUUGAAAAAUAAUAGUUAUCCAUUCUCCUCUUAAACUACUCGAAUAAUUACGUCAUUUUAAUGACUGCGUAUCCCCGUAUCCCCGUAUCAUUGAAAUAUAAUAGUUACCAAUUCUCCUCUUCAACUACACGAAUAAUUACGUCAUUUUAAUGACUGCGUAUUCCCGUAUCCCCGUAUCAUUGAAAUAUAAUAGUUAUACCAAUUCUCCUUUUAAAGUACACGAAUAAUUACGUCAUUUUAAUGACUGCGUAUCCCCGUAUUCCCGUAUCAUUGAAAAAUAAUAGUUACCCAUUCUCCUUUUAAACUACUCGAAUAAUUACGUCAUUUUAAUGACUGCGUAUCCCCGUAUCCCCGUAUCAUUGAAAAAUAAUAGUUACCCAUUCUCUUCUUAAACUACUCGAAUAAUUCGUCUUAAACUACUCAAAUAAUUACGUCAUUUUAAUGACUGCGUAUCCCCGUAUCCCCGUAUCAUUGAAAAAUAAUAGUUACCCAUUCUCUUCUUAAACUACUCGAAAAAUUCCUCUUAAACUACUCAAAUCAUUACGUCAUUUUAAUGACUGCGUAUCCCCGUAUCAUUGAAAAAUAAUAGUUACCCAUUCUCCUUUUAAACUACUCAAAUAAUUACGUCAUUUUAAUGACUGCGUAUCCCCGUAUCCCCGUAUCACUGAAAAAUAAUAGUUACCCAUUCUCCUUUUAAACUACUCAAAUAAUUACGUCAUUUUAAUGACUGCGUAUCCCCGUAUCCCCGUAUCACUGAAAAAUAAUAAGUUACCCAUUCUCCUUUUAAACUACUCGAAUAAUUACGUCAUUUUACUGACUGCGUAUCCCCGUAUCAUUGAAAAAUAAUAGUUACCCAUUCUCCUCUUAAACUACUCGAAUAAUUACGUCAUUUUAAUGACUGCGUAUCCCCGUAUCAUUGAAAAAUAAUAGUUACCCAUUCUCCUUUUAAACUACUCGAAUAAUUACGUCAUUUUAAUGACUGCGUAUCCCCGUAUCCCCGUAUCAUUGAAAAAUAAUAGUUACCCAUUCUCCUUUUAAACUACUCGAAUAAUUACGUCAUUUUAAUGACUGCGUAUCCCUAUAUCCCCGUAUCAUUGAAAAAUAAUAGUUACCCAUUCUCCUCUUAAACUACUACUCGAAUAAUUACGUCAUUUUAAUGACUGCGUAUCCCCGUAUCCCCGUAUCAUUGAAAAAUAAUAGUUACCAAUUCUCCUCUUAAACUACUACUCGAAUAAUUACGUCAUUUUAAUGACUGCGUAUCCCCGUAUCCCCCAAAAACAAACACUAUCAAAAUUCAAAAGUGGCCGGGUAUUCUAUAAUCGCUCCAAAAUCUUACCGGUGAAUAAAAAUAUAUUCUUCUCGUUCUUGUUUGGACUUUGGAGAAUUCUCACACAUACGAGCGGCGUAAAAAUACAGUAUCCGUUGUAAAUCAAGCAAAUUGGAAGAAAAAUAUCACGAUUUUCAGUGAGAUUUUCUUCUCAAAAACAAUUUUUUUAGGCUCAAACCAGGGGGGUGAAGUACAUCGUCGAAAGCUUAGGAUCGCGGUUGGGACAGUGGUAGUUGCCAUGAAUUUAGGGACCAGUAGUCAUGGCAAUGGCGUCAGAUCCGCCAUGUUUUUGGCGACACUUUUUUAUCCCGAGCAGGUCCUCCAGUAAUAUAGUAUAGCUCAGUGGUGGAAACGCGCUUAUUACCGCGUGAUCUAUGUGUGAUGCGCCAGAGAACUGGCACUAGCGCGCGUUUUGAGAGAAAAGCAAAAAGAAAAGCGAAAACAUGGCGGAAAAAAGAUUGUUGUGUGACUUUGAAAGCCAGGGCAAAAAUAGACGUAAGACCUUUUUUAAUGUGAGAUUUCUUUGAUUAAUUUUUAAAAGGAGCAUUAUUUUAUGCUAUUAAUAAACUUUUUAUGUAAGAAGCAUCCGACGUAUUUGAGAAAAUUUCCAUUAUUUUAAUGUGAGGGGCAUCAAAUUUUAUUACUUUACGCACGACAACAGAGAUUAAAAUCAAUGCUGUCUGAACACUAGGUAGGCCUAGAUAAAUUUGAUAGCUUAAAAAUGUGUGGAGUUUCUCUGGCUUUAGUACACAAUAUAUACCAAUACCGGCUUUUACCGGCUUUUUUUGCUAUGCUUAAAUAAUUUUCUCAGCGCGUGAGAGCUAAAACAUAAAAAGCCUACAAAUCGCGGUCAAACUAAAAGUCAG
Molecule: long non-coding RNA, 2224 nt
Filed under: Paramuricea clavata
Lineage: Eukaryota; Metazoa; Cnidaria; Anthozoa; Malacalcyonacea; Plexauridae
Source: RNAcentral